UCUUGGGGAUGUUCCUCCUUGGGUUUAUUUGAUAUGGUAUUCGUUGGGUUUCCUGGGUUUGAAUAAGUGAUUCCUUUCUCAUGUUAGAGAGGUAGGGAGGUUUUCCCGCUGUUAUCUCUAAAUAUUUUCUCUGGCCCUUUGUCUUCUACUGGCACCCCUGUAAUGCAAAUGUUGGUGCAUUUAAGGUUGUCUCAGAGUUCUCUUAGAUGCUCCCUAAUUCUUUUCAUUCUUUUUUCUUUAUUCUGUUUCACGUCAGUGAUUUCCACCAGUCAGUCUUCCACCUUGCUUAUUUGUUCUUCUGCCUCCGGUCAUCUGCUAUUGGUUCCUUCUAGUGAAUUUUUUAUUUUGUUAAUUAUAUUUUGAAUCUCUGCUUGUUUAAUCUUUAAAUCUUCUGUUUCGUUGUCCAAUCUUCUAUUUCUUUGUUCAGAUUGAUAAACUGAUUAAUUUAUCAGUUUUUUCCCAAGAUCUUGGAUCAUCUUUAACAUCAUAAUUCUGAAGUCUUUUUCAUCCAGUUCAUUUAGCUUUUUCUGAGGUUGCUUUAGUUCCCUUAUCUGGCUUAUAUUCCUCUGCCUUUUCACUUUGUACAGCUUUUUGGGUGGUCUCCUUUUUGCGGACAAUAGGGUUGUAGCCUCUUUUGCUUCUGAUGUCUGUCCCCCUCCUUGUGGCUGAACUUGGUAGGGGGCUUGCCUGUAGGCUUCCUGGUAGGUGGAGCUGAGUCUUGUCCCUCUGGUGGGUUGGGCUUUGUCUCUGGGUGACUGGAGGCAGCUGUCUGCCUGGGGGUUCUUUAGGCAGCCGGUUUGCUGAUGGGUGGGGUAUGUUCCCACCUAGUUUGUUGUUUGGCCUGGGGCUUCUCAGCCCUGAUGGGUGGGGUCAGGUUUUCCUGGAAAUGGCAGCCUCCACGGAUGCCCACAAUGCUCCGUGGCAGCCACCCUCCUUUUCCCAGGAGAUCCUUCAAGCCCUGCAGGCAGGUCUGACCUAGAUUCCUAUGGAGUCCCUGCUCUGCCCUGGGACCCAGUGCACAGGGAGACCUGAGUGUGCCCUUCAGAGUGGAGUCCCGUUUCCCCCAGUCCUGUGGAGCUCCUGUGCACAGGCCAGGCUGGCCCUCACUGCCAAAUGCUCCAGGGGCUCCUUCCCCCAGGGCCAGACCCCCAGGCAUGAGAACCCGACCUGGCCUCCGGGACUCUCAUUCCUGUGGGAGAGCUCCUGCCAUGUAGUUAUUUUCCAGUCUGCGUGUUGCCCACCCGGCAGGUGUGGGAUUGCUUAUAUCAUGAAAGCGGCCCUCCUGCUGCCUGCCGAUGUGGCCUCUUCUUUGUCUUUGGGUGUAGGAUAUCUUUUUUGGUAGUUUUCUAGUCUAUUUUAUUGAUGGUUGUUCAGCGGUAGUUGUGAUUUUGGUGUUUUUCGUGAGAGAAGGUGAGCUUAUUAAGCCCUACUUUGCCAUCUUCUGAACAGCUCGCAUUUGCCUUCUUGUUUAAUGCCUUUUUCUCCCUCAGGACUGGACUCCAUCAGGGCAAAGGCCGGAUCUGUUGUUUUCACAGAGUUCCCAGUCCUGGCACAUAUCUGGGUGUUGGCUGGACUGGGAUGGAUAAAUGAAGGAAUCGUCCCUGCCGCAGUAUCCCAUCUAUUUCAGUCACAUUCUUUAGAUGGUUCCCUUUUACCUGUAAGAUAAAUUCUUUGCCUUCUUUGACUUUCGUUAACUAAUUCACCACUUUCCCUGUCUAGCCUGCAUUGACUACAGUCAUGUGAAUCCCUGCUUAUCUCUAGUUUCCUCUAUAACAGCCAGGGUCUGCUCUUUCAGCCAGGGUCUGUGCUCUUUCUAGGCUCCGCCCCAGCUGCUCUCCUCUUGUCACUCUAAGUGCCUUUCCUGUUUCCCUAUCACUCUGCACACUACUUAGUACUGCAGUUAGGGUGACUCCGCCUGCUUUUCCAGCAGCAGAUACUGCCUUUUUUUUUUAUCCUUGUGAUGUCUUCUGGGCUUGUGAAUGUCCAGAGCCUGUGUACCUCGAAUACCCUUCCUUAUUGAGUGCUUGUCUUAGGCAUUGUGUUGGUUGUUUCUAUAUCUGUCGUCUUGCUGACUUGAGCUCGCUGGAUAAGGUGGGGUUUCCCUUUUUUCUGGUAGUUGAGCUUCAUGUAGUCCUGGGACUGUCCAUCCUGUUUCCUGUCACAUCCCUUGUCUGCAUAGUAACGUAGUGGACGGUAGGCAGCCUGUGGCAUGAAUAAAGUUCAGACGCACAAAUAGUCAAAGACAGGGUUUAAGUAGAGAAUAAAUAAUGUCAGGCACGUAAAGUGAAAGCCUUAAAAUAUUUAACCCAGCAAUUUUACUUCUAGAAAUCUACUUUAUGGAAAUAAUCCUAAGCAUAGGGAAAAAAUGUGGGAAUUCCCGAUGUGGCUCAGUGGUUUAAGAACCUGACAUAGUCUCCAUGAGGAUGUGGGUUCAGUCCCUGGCCUCACUCAGUAGGUUAAGGGUCCGGCGUUGCUGUGAGCUGUGGUGUAGGUUACAGAUGCCGUUCAGAUCCCACGUUGCUGUGGCUGUGGCGUAGGCUGGCAGCUGCAGCUCCAAUUUGACCCCUAGCCUGGGAACUUCCAGAUGCUGCAGGUGUGGCCCUAAAAAAAAGUGGGGGGAGGAAG
This 2625-nucleotide long non-coding RNA is filed under the name Sus scrofa (pig). RNAcentral's name for it is "lncRNA (ENSSSCG00005002257.1)". The record is from RNAcentral. Lineage: Eukaryota; Metazoa; Chordata; Mammalia; Artiodactyla; Suidae.